UAUGUUUGAAUCCCUCUCUCACUUUCAGCCAACAUUUGUUAUAAAUUAAUUAAAAUUCAAAAAUGCCUUGCUAAUGAUUUAAUACAAUAAAACAAAAAUAGAAAUCAAAACUUAUAAAUAGUUAAAAUAAAAUGGAAACAAUAUAAUAGAAAAUUCUAUUUAUUUAUUUCAAUUCAUUUGACAAAAAACAAAAAUAAAAAGAUUCAAAAUGAAUAAAAUUUGGGCGCAAAAAUGUUCAAAAAAAAUAAAUUGAAUCCAUCAAAAUGAUCAGCACGGAA
Molecule: long non-coding RNA, 278 nt
Filed under: Lathyrus oleraceus (garden pea)
Lineage: Eukaryota; Viridiplantae; Streptophyta; Magnoliopsida; Fabales; Fabaceae
Description: Pisum sativum (pea) long non-coding RNA (PSAT_LNC011544)
Source: RNAcentral